GAUGAACGCUGGCGGCGUGCCUAAUACAUGCAAGUCGAGCGAACAGACGAGGAGCUUGCUCCUCUGACGUUAGCGGCGGACGGGUGAGUAACACGUGGAUAACCUACCUAUAAGACUGGGAUAACUUCGGGAAACCGGAGCUAAUACCGGAUAAUAUAUUGAACCGCAUGGUUCAAUAGUGAAAGACGGUUUUGCUGUCACUUAUAGAUGGAUCCGCGCCGCAUUAGCUAGUUGGUAAGGUAACGGCUUACCAAGGCAACGAUGCGUAGCCGACCUGAGAGGGUGAUCGGCCACACUGGAACUGAGACACGGUCCAGACUCCUACGGGAGGCAGCAGUAGGGAAUCUUCGGCAAUGGACGAAAGUCUGACCGAGCAACGCCGCGUGAGUGAAGAAGGUUUUCGGAUCGUAAAGCUCUGUUGUAAGAGAAGAACGGGUGUGAGAGUGGAAAGUUCACACUGUGACGGUAUCUUACCAGAAAGGGACGGCUAACUACGUG
This 498-nucleotide ribosomal RNA is filed under the name uncultured bacterium. RNAcentral describes it as "partial 16S ribosomal RNA". It matches the Rfam family "Bacterial small subunit ribosomal RNA", at positions 28 to 507 of the family's 1533-position model. The record is from RNAcentral.